RNAcentral lists this ribosomal RNA (112 nucleotides) under Bacteroidota bacterium. Lineage: Bacteria; Pseudomonadati; Bacteroidota. RNAcentral also lists the same sequence under 1 other name. The record is from RNAcentral.
UAAGGUGGUUAUAGCGGUGGAGAUACACCUCUUCCCAUUCCGAACAGAGAAGUUAAGCCCGCCUACGCCGAUGGUACUGCCGUCAAGGUGGAAGAGUAGGUAGCCGCCAACC